GACGAACGCUGGCGGCGUGCUUAACACAUGCAAGUCGAACGCUGAAGCUCAGCUUUUGUUGGGUGGAUGAGUGGCGAACGGGUGAGUAACACGUGAGUAACCUGCCCCCUUCUUUGGGAUAACGCCCGGAAACGGGUGCUAAUACUGGAUAUUCACUGGUCUUCGCAUGGGGGUUGGUGGAAAGGGUUUUUCUGGCGGGGGAUGGGCUCGCGGCCUAUCAGCUUGUUGGUGGGGUGAUGGCCUACCAAGGCUUUGACGGGUAGCCGGCCUGAGAGGGUGACCGGUCACAUUGGGACUGAGAUACGGCCCAGACUCCUACGGGAGGCAGCAGUGGGGAAUAUUGCACAAUGGGCGCAAGCCUGAUGCAGCGACGCCGCGUGAGGGAUGGAGGCCUUCGGGCUGUGAACCUCUUUCGCUCAUGGUCAAGCCGCAACAAUGGUUGUGGUGAGGGUAGUGGGUAAAGAAGCGCCGGCUAACUACGUG
Molecule: ribosomal RNA, 483 nt
Filed under: uncultured bacterium
Lineage: Bacteria
Description: partial 16S ribosomal RNA
Rfam family: Bacterial small subunit ribosomal RNA
Source: RNAcentral